UAAUACGAAGGGGGCUAGCGUUGUUCGGAAUUACUGGGCGUAAAGGGCGCGUAGGCGGCUCUGAUCGUCGGGUGUGAAAGGCCUGGGCUUAACCUGGGAACUGCAUUCGAUACGGCGGAGCUGGAGUGUGGGAGAGGAUGGUGGAAUUCCCAGUGUAGAGGUGAAAUUCGUAGAUAUUGGGAAGAACACCGGUGGCGAAGGCGGCCAUCUGGACCACAACUGACGCUGAGGCGCGAAAGCGUGGGGAGCAAACAGGAUUAGAUACCCUGGUAGUCCACGCUGUAAACGAUGCGUGCUAGACGUUGGGAGCCCUAGGCUCUCGGUGUCGUCGCUAACGCUUUAAGCACGCCGCCUGGGGAGUACGGCCGCAAGGUUA
This 376-nucleotide ribosomal RNA is filed under the name uncultured bacterium. RNAcentral's name for it is "bacterial SSU rRNA". It matches the Rfam family "Bacterial small subunit ribosomal RNA", at positions 521 to 896 of the family's 1533-position model. The record is from RNAcentral.